CCUACGGGCGGCAGCAGUGGGGCAUAUUGGGCAAUGGGCGCAAGCCUGACCCAGCAAUGCCGCGUGAAGGAAGAAGGCUUUCGGGUUGUAAACUUCUAUGACAGGGGACGCGCAGAAGACGGUACCCUGAAAACAAGCCACGGCUAACUACGUGCCAGCAGCCGCGGUAAUACGUAGGUGGCAAGCGUUGUCCGGAUUUACUGGGUGUAAAGGGCGUGUAGCCGGGAAGGCAAGUCAGAUGUGAAAUCUGGAGGCUCAACCUCCAAAUUUCAUUUGAACCUGUUUUUCUUGAGUACUGGAGAGGCAGACGGAAUUCCUUGUGUAGCGGUGAAAUGCGUAGAUAUAAGGAGGAACACCAGUGGCGAAGGCGGUCUGCUGGACAGCAACUGACGGUGAGGCGCGAAAGCGUGGGGAGCAAACAGGAUUAGAUACCCGUGUAGUC
RNAcentral lists this ribosomal RNA (442 nucleotides) under uncultured bacterium. RNAcentral's name for it is "partial 16S ribosomal RNA". It matches the Rfam family "Bacterial small subunit ribosomal RNA", at positions 338 to 795 of the family's 1533-position model. The record is from RNAcentral.